GAUGUUACCUAUACUACACAGCCACUCCCUCGAACGUUUGAGAUACUUUUUUCUUCCUAUACAGAACUGUGUACAUUACCUUUAACCGUAUGACAGGUAUUACUACUUAAACGGACGUCUGAGGUUCUUCCAACAGUACGGGGACUCCAAGAGCUGUUCCUACGACGUCUACUGAAAGGAGAGGUUACUAUAGUUGUCGGUUCUCUAAUAAAGGGCUAAGUUCUUUAGUUUAGUGGACCUGGCCUUUCUGUACUAUUACAAAUAACACAAUCUCUUAUAGCUGUUCAGUUUCUUCCAAAGUCCGUUGGUAAUAACCCAGAAGUUGCACUUAUAUUCCCUAGCUUCCAAGCUCCACGAACUAAGUACCUCCUGUGAAGUCCUGUUCUGAGAUCUACAGACGCGUUCCUGAUACCAACGAUCAAAAGCCCGAGACACCCUUCUCGUGAUAGGCUUCAGAGUGUAGAGUAAUCUACUGAAGUGUGAUUCUUUGUAACUACACGGUUUUGUUUGAUUGUUUAUACUGACGCCGUAAAAACGAGAGAGUUAACGUUUACCCACCCUUCCUUCCUUGCAAGGUUCUAAAUGUCGUCUCCUACAAGUUUUAUAGUCCUUCGUCAACUGUUUGUGCACCCAAUUGUGGCU
Molecule: ribosomal RNA, 642 nt
Filed under: Triticum aestivum (bread wheat)
Lineage: Eukaryota; Viridiplantae; Streptophyta; Magnoliopsida; Poales; Poaceae
Description: partial small subunit ribosomal RNA
Source: RNAcentral